This is a non-coding RNA of Anas platyrhynchos (mallard), 2051 nucleotides long. The record is from RefSeq and is a predicted model, not a curated record. NCBI's taxonomy places the organism in Eukaryota, Metazoa, Chordata, Aves, Anseriformes, Anatidae.
AGCAGAUGAACACUUGUCUGUGCGGUGCAAAAACAAACCAACCUUAUUAUUAUAUUAAUAUUUUUUUUUUUCGUGGAGCGGAGAUGCCGAGGCACCUUAGAGCGAAUUCGGGAAAAUAAAAUGACUCCAGAUUGCACGCCUUUCGAAACGCAACGCCUCUUUUCCGAGAAAGAAAGCCUGCAUCUGUGCUCGCAUCGCUGCUCAGGCUGCCUGUGUUCUCUCGCACCGCUGUCCCGGCGGUUACCCGCUGCUCGCCGAUCACCCGCUGCUCUCCUGUUCCCUUUCCCGGCGCCUCUCCACCAGCCCAGCCCGCGGCUCAAAGCAGCGCACGGCUUCCAGCCCCUGCGAGCCGAGCCGAGCCGAGCCGGGCAAAGCCUCGCCGAGCCCAGCCCCCGGCGGCAGGGCGCCGUUCAGCACUGCGGCCAGCGACAGCCGCCGGCCGAGCCCAGCCCAGCCCAGCCCAGCCCAGCCCGACGGGGCGGGCACGGGGCCGGCCGCUGGGUGCAGCCCCCCCGGGCCCGCUGGGUGCAGCCUCCCUCCGGGAGGGGUCUGCAGGCUGUGGGGGGGGAGCACGGGUCCUGCUGCUCCUCGGGCUCCGCGGCUGAGCGCUGCAGCCUGGCGGUGCUACAGGCAGCAGCCGCUCGGGCCUAGGAGGGAACCGCUCAGGUUUUUUCUCCUUGGUGCCUUUAGCACUCUUCCUCUUCUGAAACGCUAACGCACUCCGGGUGAUGCAUUCCCACGUCAAAAUUAGAAAAUGAGGCGCUGCUGAAACUGAAGGCACGUGCCUUUCACGGAAGGAGCUUCCAACACAAAAGGCAGCCGUUUGUUUGCAGCACGGCAACACAGGCACAAUUUUUACCUCUCCUGUUCCUACUGCACAGGGUAACAUCAGCCCUGGUCACUACUUCUGCCGCUGCCUACAGGGUUUGUUUCACUACAGCAAAGGAAACUUGGCUUCCCGGUGUAUUAAUAAUUAAGUGCCUCCCACUGAACAUUAGAAAAGGAGGAACUGAGAUGCUGAUUGUGGGGAGGAAAUUUCCAAGGUUCCAGGUAUGCAAAGAAGUUGACAGAUAACAGCCAGAGAUAAAAAUCAUGGAGUGAAAAGAGACAAAGAUGUUCUCCUUGUCCAAAGCUGAGCUAGGAAGCAGAGGAUCAGCUUGCUGCGGGAACAGGAAGAUCUUGGGACUUUUUCCAGCAGAUCCUGGAGUAUAAAUAACAAAGGCACAGCUGAGUCUCCAAAUAAAGCGAACAAAUCAGUUAGCCACAGAAUAGUGAAGGAGGCAAAGGUUCUCUGUGCAAUCAGGGAGGAAACACUGCUGAUGAAAAGGAGGGCAGGGAAAUUGGAGCGUCAAAAAUCUGACAAUCACUGAAGGACCGAGUAGCGUGCGUUGAUGAAAGUGCUGAAGAGAAGACUCCACGCCAGAGCCAGGUGGAAAUGGGGAAAGAAGGGACACAGGGCUGGAAGUCAGCAGCUGGAAGGCUGGGUGAUGAACUGUGAACAUGUUAAAAAAUGUCCAACAGUCUGGUAUUUUCUCUCUCAGAGACAGAGCAGUGGCACCACGUGACAGGUACUCUGAAUUUAUUAGGCUUAAUAAUGUAGGCUACUGAAGUGCAAAGCUAAAUCCAUUGCUAGAAAAACUCCACUGCAGGCAAUGGAAGUAUCAAAUCAAUUAUUGUGGACCCCCAAUACUGCAAUUUAUAGAGAUUGAUGCAUGUUUAAGUAGCCAAGUGUGCAACUUCUAGCUUUAAGCCCGGUCCUUUCCCCAAGCAGUUUUUGUACUUCAGCAAUACAUCAUUCAUCUAAGGAGCUGAAAGCUGCUCUUCUAUGUGUUUCUUCAAGUGCCAUGCUUCAGUUUUCAUGUAUCCCCUCCUAAUCCUAGCUCUAUUUUAAUUUAUCAAAACACAUAGACCUGAGUCUCCAUUUCCUUUUAUUAUCAAGAGAUAAAAAUGGUAGUGAUACAAAUUGGAGGAGAGGAGACUUUUCCAUCCUUGUAUGAUUGAUUAUUCAUGCUGGAAAAUACCACCCAAUAAAUAAGUGUGGAAGACUCUAA